GACGAACGCUGGCGGCGUGCUUAACACAUGCAAGUCGAACGGAAAGGCCCCUUCGGGGGUACUCGAGUGGCGAACGGGUGAGUAACACGUGCGUAACCUGCCCUUGACUUCGGGAUAACUUCAGGAAACUGGGGCUAAUACCGGAUAGGAAUCCUUGCUGCAUGGUGGGGGUUGGAAAGCUUCGGCGGUUUUGGAUGGACUCGCGGCUUAUCAGCUUGUUGGUGGGGUAGUGACUUACCAAGGCUUUGACGGGUAGCCGGCCUGGGAGGGCGACCGGCCACAUUGGGACUGAGAUACGGCCCAGACGCCGACGGGAGGAAGCAGGGGGGAAGAGUGCACAAUGGGCGGAAGCCUGAUGCAGCAACGCCGCGGGCGGGAGGACGGCCUUCGGGUUGUAAACCGCUUUCAGCAGGGGCGAAGCUUGUGGUGACGGUACCUGCAGAAGAAGCACCGGCUAACUACGUG
Molecule: ribosomal RNA, 465 nt
Filed under: uncultured bacterium
Lineage: Bacteria
Description: partial 16S ribosomal RNA
Rfam family: Bacterial small subunit ribosomal RNA
Source: RNAcentral